CACUGGAUAGGCUCAGUCGGGGGAGCAUGAGUCUCUUAAUCUCAGGGUUGUGGGUUCGAGUCCCACGCCAGGCAAAAGA
Non-coding RNA from Podarcis lilfordi (Lilford's wall lizard), 79 nucleotides. The record is from the annotation of a GenBank genome assembly. Lineage: Eukaryota; Metazoa; Chordata; Lepidosauria; Squamata; Lacertidae.